This 492-nucleotide ribosomal RNA is filed under the name uncultured bacterium. RNAcentral's name for it is "bacterial SSU rRNA". It matches the Rfam family "Bacterial small subunit ribosomal RNA", at positions 30 to 520 of the family's 1533-position model. The record is from RNAcentral.
AUUGAACGCUGGCGGCAGGCCUAACACAUGCAAGUCGAGCGAGAAAGGUCUUCGGACUGAGUACAGCGGCGGACGGGUGAGUAAUGCGCAGGAAUCUACCUGGUAGUGGGGGAUAACUCGGGGAAACUCGAACUAAUACCGCAUACGCCCUACGGGGAAAGCGGGGACCUUCGGCCUCGCGCUAUCAGAUGAGCCUGCGUAGGAUUAGCUUGUUGGUGAGGUAAAGGCUCACCAAGGCGACGAUCCUUAGCUGGUCUGAGAGGAUGAUCAGCCACACUGGAACUGAGACACGGUCCAGACUCCUACGGGAGGCAGCAGUGGGGAAUAUUGCGCAAUGGGCGAAAGCCUGACGCAGCCAUGCCGCGUGUGUGAAGAAGGCCCUUGGGUUGUAAAGCACUUUCAAUUGGGAGAAAGGUUGCGUGUUAAUAGCACGUAGCUGUGACGUUACCUUUUAGAAGAAGCACCGGCUAACUCCGUGCCAGCAGCCGACGG